Molecule: ribosomal RNA, 2925 nt
Filed under: Escherichia coli
Lineage: Bacteria; Pseudomonadati; Pseudomonadota; Gammaproteobacteria; Enterobacterales; Enterobacteriaceae
Description: 23S ribosomal RNA
Rfam family: Bacterial large subunit ribosomal RNA
Source: RNAcentral
GGGUUGUGAGGUUAAGCGACUAAGCGUACACGGUGGAUGCCCUGGCAGUCAGAGGCGAUGAAGGACGUGCUAAUCUGCGAUAAGCGUCGGUAAGGUGAUAUGAACCGUUAUAACCGGCGAUUUCCGAAUGGGGAAACCCAGUGUGAUUCGUCACACUAUCAUUAACUGAAUCCAUAGGUUAAUGAGGCGAACCGGGGGAACUGAAACAUCUAAGUACCCCGAGGAAAAGAAAUCAACCGAGAUUCCCCCAGUAGCGGCGAGCGAACGGGGAGGAGCCCAGAGCCUGAAUCAGUGUGUGUGUUAGUGGAAGCGUCUGGAAAGGCGCGCGAUACAGGGUGACAGCCCCGUACACAAAAAUGCACAUGCUGUGAGCUCGAUGAGUAGGGCGGGACACGUGGUAUCCUGUCUGAAUAUGGGGGGACCAUCCUCCAAGGCUAAAUACUCCUGACUGACCGAUAGUGAACCAGUACCGUGAGGGAAAGGCGAAAAGAACCCCGGCGAGGGGAGUGAAAAAGAACCUGAAACCGUGUACGUACAAGCAGUGGGAGCACGCUUCGGCGUGUGACUGCGUACCUUUUGUAUAAUGGGUCAGCGACUUAUAUUCUGUAGCAAGGUUAACCGAAUAGGGGAGCCGAAGGGAAACCGAGUCUUAACUGGGCGUUAAGUUGCAGGGUAUAGACCCGAAACCCGGUGAUCUAGCCAUGGGCAGGUUGAAGGUUGGGUAACACUAACUGGAGGACCGAACCGACUAAUGUUGAAAAAUUAGCGGAUGACUUGUGGCUGGGGGUGAAAGGCCAAUCAAACCGGGAGAUAGCUGGUUCUCCCCGAAAGCUAUUUAGGUAGCGCCUCGUGAACUCAUCUCCGGGGGUAGAGCACUGUUUCGGCAAGGGGGUCAUCCCGACUUACCAACCCGAUGCAAACUGCGAAUACCGGAGAAUGUUAUCACGGGAGACACACGGCGGGUGCUAACGUCCGUCGUGAAGAGGGAAACAACCCAGACCGCCAGCUAAGGUCCCAAAGUCAUGGUUAAGUGGGAAACGAUGUGGGAAGGCCCAGACAGCCAGGAUGUUGGCUUAGAAGCAGCCAUCAUUUAAAGAAAGCGUAAUAGCUCACUGGUCGAGUCGGCCUGCGCGGAAGAUGUAACGGGGCUAAACCAUGCACCGAAGCUGCGGCAGCGACGCUGAUGCGUUGUUGGGUAGGGGAGCGUUCUGUAAGCCUGUGAAGGUGUACUGUGAGGUAUGCUGGAGGUAUCAGAAGUGCGAAUGCUGACAUAAGUAACGAUAAAGCGGGUGAAAAGCCCGCUCGCCGGAAGACCAAGGGUUCCUGUCCAACGUUAAUCGGGGCAGGGUGAGUCGACCCCUAAGGCGAGGCCGAAAGGCGUAGUCGAUGGGAAACAGGUUAAUAUUCCUGUACUUGGUGUUACUGCGAAGGGGGGACGGAGAAGGCUAUGUUGGCCGGGCGACGGUUGUCCCGGUUUAAGCGUGUAGGCUGGUUUUCCAGGCAAAUCCGGAAAAUCAAGGCUGAGGCGUGAUGACGAGGCACUACGGUGCUGAAGCAACAAAUGCCCUGCUUCCAGGAAAAGCCUCUAAGCAUCAGGUAACAUCAAAUCGUACCCCAAACCGACACAGGUGGUCAGGUAGAGAAUACCAAGGCGCUUGAGAGAACUCGGGUGAAGGAACUAGGCAAAAUGGUGCCGUAACUUCGGGAGAAGGCACGCUGAUAUGUAGGUGAAGUCCCUCGCGGAUGGAGCUGAAAUCAGUCGAAGAUACCAGCUGGCUGCAACUGUUUAUUAAAAACACAGCACUGUGCAAACACGAAAGUGGACGUAUACGGUGUGACGCCUGCCCGGUGCCGGAAGGUUAAUUGAUGGGGUCAGCGCAAGCGAAGCUCUUGAUCGAAGCCCCGGUAAACGGCGGCCGUAACUAUAACGGUCCUAAGGUAGCGAAAUUCCUUGUCGGGUAAGUUCCGACCUGCACGAAUGGCGUAAUGAUGGCCAGGCUGUCUCCACCCGAGACUCAGUGAAAUUGAACUCGCUGUGAAGAUGCAGUGUACCCGCGGCAAGACGGAAAGACCCCGUGAACCUUUACUAUAGCUUGACACUGAACAUUGAGCCUUGAUGUGUAGGAUAGGUGGGAGGCUUUGAAGUGUGGACGCCAGUCUGCAUGGAGCCGACCUUGAAAUACCACCCUUUAAUGUUUGAUGUUCUAACGUGGACCCGUGAUCCGGGUUGCGGACAGUGUCUGGUGGGUAGUUUGACUGGGGCGGUCUCCUCCUAAAGAGUAACGGAGGAGCACGAAGGUUGGCUAAUCCUGGUCGGACAUCAGGAGGUUAGUGCAAUGGCAUAAGCCAGCUUGACUGCGAGCGUGACGGCGCGAGCAGGUGCGAAAGCAGGUCAUAGUGAUCCGGUGGUUCUGAAUGGAAGGGCCAUCGCUCAACGGAUAAAAGGUACUCCGGGGAUAACAGGCUGAUACCGCCCAAGAGUUCAUAUCGACGGCGGUGUUUGGCACCUCGAUGUCGGCUCAUCACAUCCUGGGGCUGAAGUAGGUCCCAAGGGUAUGGCUGUUCGCCAUUUAAAGUGGUACGCGAGCUGGGUUUAGAACGUCGUGAGACAGUUCGGUCCCUAUCUGCCGUGGGCGCUGGAGAACUGAGGGGGGCUGCUCCUAGUACGAGAGGACCGGAGUGGACGCAUCACUGGUGUUCGGGUUGUCAUGCCAAUGGCACUGCCCGGUAGCUAAAUGCGGAAGAGAUAAGUGCUGAAAGCAUCUAAGCACGAAACUUGCCCCGAGAUGAGUUCUCCCUGACCCUUUAAGGGUCCUGAAGGAACGUUGAAGACGACGACGUUGAUAGGCCGGGUGUGUAAGCGCAGCGAUGCGUUGAGCUAACCGGUACUAAUGAACCGUGAGGCUUAACCUUACAACGCCGAAG